CGGAAUUUGUAAUUAUUUAUUUCUUCGCACCGGAAAAGAAUAACUUUUUUCCUCAAUACUUGGACACCAUGCACAGUUCGCACUUUUUCCUCGAUCUUGAUGCCUCGGAGAUGGAUCAGUCAGUGUAUCUCAUUCUGCGUUUCUCUCUAAACGGAAAAAUGAUACGCAGAAAAAAAAAAUUAACAUUCGACAUCUUCGCGGAGACGAGGAAAAACAUUUUCCUCAAUGCAUUCCAAGAUCGUCAUUAGAAAAUGCAAAAUUUUUUGAUAAAUUAAUAUUGGAAGAAAAUUAUAAAUCACUUGUGCAUAUUCUCCUUCGUAACCAUAAGCGAUGGAGCUAUCAAUUAUUGCGGAUUUUUAACAGCGGGAUAAGAUUGAUACUUCUUUGCUCUCAAUAUUGAUAACUCAGAAAUUAAUCAUUCAAUUUAGUUUUCCGUCACGUCAAAUACGAAGAAUUGUACUUAAAAAUAUUCAAAGGCAAACAUUUUCGCGUAGAGAAGAAAGAGUUUUCUUCCACGCAAACCAAUUCAUUAGAUUCUAAUAUCAUCAACGCAUUCCGUAUUUGCAACGCGUAAUAUCGAUCCAGUCGAGUUCCGCAGUUGGCGGAAAACGUUACAUUCGGAUCAGUGAUUUGAUUGAUCAGGAGCUAUCAUGAGAGUCUGGAUAUUCUUCAGCUUCGUGUGUUUCUCCUUUACUUCCGUUCGGGGAGAGCACAUUACGUGCCACGGUAACGCGGAAACUCAAAACGUAGCGAUCAAGACCAGGAACCAGGAGUGUCCCGAGUCCUGUAUGAAACUAGUGAAGUCUCUGCCUGAUGGUACCGUAGUGAUUAUACGUGGCUGUGGUAAAUUUAAGUGGGAGUCAUCAGCAGAGAACUAUCUUGAUGAUCUACAUUUAUCAACGAUGCAAAAGGAGCUAUUACUGACCUCCGCCCCUCUGGUCAUGUACCUGUGCGAUGGGGACUUUUGUAAUGACGGAUAUUCCUCGAAAUCUUUCUGGCUGACUUCACUUAUAGCCCUGACGAUCCUCUUUAUAAUUACUUGAAAUUAAUUUCAACAACUGAAAUAAUUAUGAUCUGAAUAUUUUUGUUAUCAAUUAUGCAAUAUGAACUAAUUAUGAGUGACUGAUGGAGAGUAAAGUGGGAAUAUCAAUAGAUAUUAUUCGAUGCCAUAAUUAAUUCACCUACUCCAAUAAAUACAUUAUUUGCUGAUUAUCGAGACAUCAUGUAACACAUGAUAAAUUUUAUUUACGCCUGAAUAAUGUGAUCAGUCGUUCUAGCGACAAACAGGGGUGAAUUUAUCGUCCACUGAAUAUCAUGUACGAAUCGAAAUAAAACGUAAAACAGAAUUGGUUUAUCGAGAAUAAAUGUAAUCAGCCGCGAACGGUAAAAUCCGAAAUGCCUUUAUCAAAAGAUUUAUCUUGAUUUUACAUUUCACUACUGGAAUAUUCUAUCUGCAUGAAAGGUGUAUGGGUUGACUGAAAUUUAACAACUCUUAUCUUAUCUCCAAACUUUUACGGAAUUUUUAUGGAAUCGUCUCAUAAACUUGUGAAAAAAUCGCACAAAAUAUUCUUUAAAUGACGCUAUCGUGUGAAGUCGCACCGGAACUGUCACCUGUCGAAAAUUAUUGCAUUCACAGUCUCGAGAAUUCGCCGGUCAGUAUAUGUUCAUUAAAAAACAUUUUUGCAGCACAAGACCUGCCCUUAUGAUGAUCCCUUGACAUUGAUGCAUCAUUAGGCCGAGGUAUUGAACAACUAACACAUAUGUCAGGAUAAUAUACCACGUGUGCAGACAAUGGACAAUAGAACGUAGCAUUUGGCCGUGACAACAUCUCAUUGUUGCCCGUUGCCAGCGUCAUUGCAUCAGUAAUUAGAAUCAAUCGGAAGUUAUUGUCAAUGAAUUCAAUAGAAUGAUCUAAUAGGAGCCUUAGAAACUAAGUCAGAUGAAGACAGACGCGAGUCUUAAUUGCAGUAUCCGCUUUUCAAAAUGAAAAAAAAAUUACAUAAAGGAGACACUCCACAAAUUAAUUACUAAUGUAUCGAUAAUUAAUUUAUUAUUUGACAGAUUUGAAGUAAAUGUCGAUGAUUUGACUUUCGAAUCCUCCUUCAGCGUGUCACGAUCCUACUCAAGGACGAAAUCUUGGAAUCGGAGAGAAAUCUUUCGAACAACGACAUGCAAACGAAAACCCGUUUUCAUAUUUUCCCUUUCCAUUCCGCUUCCCAUUACCAUCUCAUCAGCGUUUGCGGGAAAUCUGUUUUUCCUCCGCGAAUACUACCACUGUUUCCCAGAAAUUUACGAGGGAGACCAUGCUAUCACAUCGACAUCUCGCCGAACAUCUGAAUUCACAAAACAUAAUAAUUUAUUUUCUACAGUUCUUGGCCUGACCCCACGUUAUUUUUCAGUUUUGAUCAAUCGAAAUCUGACUCAUUGUACAUUCCCUGUAGUCCAAUAGAUUACGUCGCAUGAUAAAACUUGAAAGCUCUCCAUUUUUCCCGGGAACGGUACGAGGAUUAUCCCAUUAGUCCUUUCGUCCCUUGUUUAACAUGGACGAUAACAGAAAUCGAUGGUACUUUAUCGGAGUUUUUUCGCGGGCGAACAUUUUCCGCAUAAUGCAUUAGUCAACGGUGCAGACAGUUUUUGACGAAUCGGAGAGGUCGUGGCAUCGUGGAAAAGCAGAAGGAAGAAUGAAGAUUGUAUUGGUGGUUGUUUUGGGUGCCCUCCCCUUCGGUCUCGGAGGUAACUUUACAUGCUAUCAUUGCGGUGGAUGCCAAGAUCCCUUCAAUGCAGAAGCUGCCAAGAUAGAGACGUGCACUUCUGCGUGUGUGAAAGCAGUCAUAAUGGCCAACAAUGGGACUGUCGCUACAGUGAGAUCCUGUCGCGAGAUCUUUGAGCCAAAGGAGAACAUUUCAUCCUCAGGAUUACCCACCGAUGUUGCACAAGUGCACUACUACCAAUGUGGAGAAAAUCUUUGCAAUAACGCCUACUCCCCUGUGGCCCCUGCGUCCCUAGUCUUCACUACCUUCAUUGCGAUAUUGAUUCCAGUUAAUGGAGUCAAUCGCCACUUGUUAUGAACAUCAUUUUUUAUUUAUGAUUCACGAUUGUAUCUCAAUACACGGUAACAACAAAUGUUAGAGGCUGCAUCGUUAUUCUUAUCUCUGCAUCGAAGUAUAGACGUUGAUUAUUUGCAUACGAUAUGUGGAGACAUUGAUUAUUUGCUGUGACUUCCCAGUGGCUUCAGUCAAGAUACUGGAAAUGUAGGUCACCUUUCGUUUCCUGCCACAGUAAUUUUUCAUCUCGUCAGAAAUAAAUCGAUAUCAAUGGCCAGGAAACACUCGGUAAUUUUAUUAAAACAGUGAAAAAUAGAGACAUCAUCGAAUGCUCUAUGAAAAUGUUGAAAUUACGAAUGUCAGUGACAAAACUAUUUCUGCUGCGUUUAAUUUUUUUUGUCACUACCGCUACGUUCAGCCCAUGUCGACAAGGGAUUUUUCGGUUACUUGUGAAUGAAAAGUCAAAAUUUGUAAAUGAAAAGAGUUUUCAUUUACUAGUAAACGAAAAAUGACAGUUCGACACUCCCUAAACGUAGGAUCAGUAACAAAAAGUGUAGUUCGGGUACACGUGCGAUGGAGUCUUUUGACUCGUGUGAUUGGGAACUCUUGGCUUCACCUCGGGCCGCCAACUUCACAGCCGAUAACACCCCGUCACACUUGUAGCGAUAUAUACUAUUCUUGAAUAAAUUUCGAUAGGACUUAUUUAUUCAUUUUUAAAUACCGAGGACAUCAAACUUUCGUGGUGAUAGAUCCUUUCAAGUCUCCAAUCUUGGUGAAUUGCUCGAAACACUUUCCCCAACUGUCUAACUACUUUUGUGAUGAGGGUUCAAGAUGUUUCGUACAGGAUGUUUUCUGCUCUCGGUUGUCUCUCUGACCGAUAAAAGGGUUGUCUCGAUGAGGAAGAGUAGCAACAGGGGAGAAUAAGGGUCGACAAUAUUGUGGAAUCAGGGAGAAAAGAACAUGAGCAUGAGAGUACAAUUACUCACGGAGAGAAAAAUUCUUGAAAAAUUACGUACCUCUUCCAUAAUCUACCGGUUAAAAUCGUAUACAGUAAAAAUGACGGAACAGUUAUGCAUUUUUUCACUGAACGUUCCCUACGUUUUCUGGAACGGUCAAUGAAAAGGUUGUAACCGUUCCGUAAUUUUGACAUUUCAAUGUAGAUGCGAAGAGAUAAUCUCGAAGGAAUAAAAAUAGUUCAAGUGAUGAUGUCAUAUUUAGUCAUCUUCGGAACUGGGUUUUUUUGCCGAUGAGUAUUUCGAUCUUAUUUGAUCUUUUGACAGCGAUUCUCAAUAUCGAGAUAAUACGUUUCUCAGAGAUACUUAGGUGUAACAACUCUCCCGUCACAGAAAGAACUGAUAAGGAUAUAUGGAUCCGAACCGAAUAAUGUAGACAUAAAUACUGAAUUUUGUCCGAAAAAAAAUUGUGGUGAAGUUGCAAAAUGAGUUGACUUAUAUUCAUCCUCGGAUAAAUGCGUGAAUAUCUGAAAAUUUGUGUCUAGCGAAAAUCUUUCAGGUCUUCAGCAGAAUCAUCAAAAAAAUUUCGGAGAAUCUCCCAAUCUGGGCGGUACAAAUUUAUCUUUGUCAAUAUUUUUUCAAUGGACUAUAUUGGCGAGCACUGAAAUAUUGGAUCGAGAUGAAACGAUAAGAUUGAAAUGUUCCCGGUACUAUCGAUUAUCAUCCGCUUAAAAUCCUCGGUUAGAGUGAACGGCCUUUCAGUUUUGGGAGAACAAUCUGUCUCGAAGUUUCAACAAGUGUAGUUACAAACUAACGUAAAAAUGAAAGGACUCGUAUUCAUUUCUAUCAUCGCUGUUGUAAUCGCUGUCGCUGAAUCUCGCGAAUGUUAUCAGUGCUUUCUGUGUGAAAGCAGUUUCCGUAAGGAAAGUGCCUUGAAAACUCAAUGCAUUUAUACAGAUGCAUGUCUUCUCGCGGAGGUGACAUUCAACAAUGGAACUGUAUUGACAACACGAGCGUGUGCCGAGGGGAUAGCAAUCCCAUCCUUCCCGGCUGGUAGAUCCGAGGAUGUUUAUCUAUCUAAAGCGGUUGUUAAUAUUUGCAAAGAGAACCUUUGCAACGGAGCAACUCUCAUCGGUUCAACAGCUAUAUUGCUAGCAUUCGCCAGUGUUAUUGUUCAUAAGCUCGCCGUUAAUUGAAAAUCACUACACAUAAUAAUUGAUUAUGGGGAAAAAAAAGAAAAUAUGGUGAAUCACAAAUAACUUGGACAUAUUUUCAUAGUUUUUAUUUCCUUCUCGCCGGAAUUAAUUAAUUUUAUUUAUUUAAUUUGCUGAAACUUCGAAGUUUGUGAAGCUGUAAAUGUAUAUGUAAACAAUUAAAUCGAUGAAGUAUCUGAUAAACUUUCUCUGAAUCGCAUUUCUUCACUAUUCUGACUACCUGCUCACCUGAAUAUAAUUAAUGAAUUUCCAAAAAGGGCGGAUAAUUAAUGUUCCGGAGAUUUGAGAGACGAAACAAAAAUGAAGAUUCUAAAAAUGCAAAAGGUGAACAAAAAAUUAUUUUGCUAAUUCCUAUCUUCUUAACAAAACCCUCACUCAAAGUUUUACCGUAUUUGUUUACUGAUGAUUCAUUGAUCAGCCGAGACACUCGAUACUAGUCUGGUCUAAAAAAAUAUGAUAGGCUUUAUCUAUUUUCUACCGGUGAUAUCACGUCCGCGUGAAACGAUAACUACCAGAAGUCGAGAAUUUAUCGAAACAGUCGCAUCACAAUUUACGGUUCGUCUGACUGCGAAACUCUUCUUCAAUUUCGUGGAACAUGAAGAGCCUUCACAUUUUUCUCAUUGCGACAACGAUCUUCUCCGUCGGUGAAGCUAUACUAUGUUACGGGUGUCGUGGAUGCAAAGAACCCUUCGAUUCCAAAACUGCUGAAAUUGUUAACUGCACUGAAGACGUUGUAAGUGGAGUCGUUUGCGUCAAAGCAAUUGUAGAAUUUAACAGUGGCAGAGAAUUAGUUGUUCGCCUGUGUGAAAGAAAUCCAAUAAUCGAUAGGGUAGAGGACCAAAAAUCGGUUUUAAAGGCCAGCACUGAUGUAGUAUCUAUCCAGAAAUAUUACUGCAGACAGGACAAAUGCAAUGACGCAGCAUCAGUCUACCCUCCCCUUUGGUUAUUAAUGAUUAGCAUCAGCUGCAUUAAUUUGUUAAGACAUGUUGUCCAUCAAUAAUAUAUGAUAAAAUAAUGCGCACCACAAAUAUAAAUAUGUGCUUUCCAAUAA
Diachasmimorpha longicaudata is the source of this 6262-nucleotide long non-coding RNA. RefSeq lists it as uncharacterized. The transcript is spliced from 9 exons. The record is from RefSeq and is a predicted model, not a curated record. NCBI's taxonomy places the organism in Eukaryota, Metazoa, Arthropoda, Insecta, Hymenoptera, Braconidae.